Betta splendens (Siamese fighting fish) is the source of this 435-nucleotide long non-coding RNA. RefSeq lists it as uncharacterized. Lineage: Eukaryota; Metazoa; Chordata; Actinopteri; Anabantiformes; Osphronemidae. The record is from RefSeq and is a predicted model, not a curated record. The transcript is spliced from 2 exons.
AGAUCUGCUGCUUCGUGGUUCUCCUCCUUAGCUCAUCAGCAGCUUCCUGUGGGCAGCUCGCAUCGGUCACAAUGGGUUUGGUCCGAAACCAGUGGCUGAGGUCGGAGUGCGGUGCCUUGAGGCGCUUGUCCCCUCUCAGGAUGAAAGAAUACAUCAUCACAGAGCAGACCUCCUUCUUAUAAUGCAGCUGUAAUUAACACAAACCUGGGUGUCUCUGAAACUCCUUGUACUGAACGUCCUCCAGACCCGGGAAACAAACCACCACCAGGAACCAGUGAGCUCUAGGACAGGAAAUAAAGGGAUGUUUGUUACUGUUCACCUGUCCAAUCAAAAGCUGAAACCUAAUUCUGCCAGUAAAUCUUAAGAAAACAAAUUGACAGAAAAAAAAAAAACAUCAUUUAGAUUAAACAAUAUAAAACAAUAUAAACAUUACAA